UAAAGAUUUAAGAGAAUAACAAUAAGGUAAAAUUUAACAAAAUAUUUGUGAUAACUACAAUGUUUUCUAAUUCCAUAAAAGGAAAUUGCCUAAACCAACAAUGUACAGCUCAAGUUUUCCGACAACUUACCAACCUUUUUAAAGCAAAUGAUACACUCAGCUACUGAGAGCACCCUUCCGAAGAUACAUAGACAAUUCCAAAAUAAUAACAAGGAUUACUUAUUUGACAGAUUCAAGCAGAGUACAGUGCAUACUUUAGGAGACGGAAGGUUUAGGGUAAGUGCUAGACUGAAAAGGAAAGAAAUGCUAAACUACCCCAUGACAUUCUUGUCAGAAUACUUUCAAGAUUACCUAUCAAGCCUCUCGGCCACUUCAAUGUUUGUAAGCCAUGGUGAUCUUUGAUAGCGGAUCCCCCUUUGUUAACUUGUAAUAUGAAUCCUUGUGAUGUUAAGAAGUGAAAAUAAGUGAUUCAAACCAUGUGAGGAGAAGUAAAACUACAACUUAGAUAGCUGGAAAUAACUCCAUGAGAUAAUUAAAUAAAUAACGACCACUAAGCAAUGAAUGUUACAUGAAGCAAUGUAAGAGUAAAACAUAUUCAAACCAUCACUUCUAUUUUUUUAUUUUUUUGACCCCUCAACAUUUUAGUUUGAAGUAUUUGACACAUUUACAAAACAGAACUCUGUCCCACAUCGACAAAAUAUUAGCUCAUAAACCUCCGUAUAAGCAUAGAUCCAUAAUCCUAUGCUAAGUGGUUGGUUAGGUCGGCUGCCACGUUCCACGUUCACAAAAACUGGUGGUUGCCACCGUCAAACGAAAAAAAUAUCAAAAAUCCAAAAACGUCGACCUACCCAACCACUUUUUAGUUUUUUGAAAAGAAUAAAAUUAGAUCAGAAUAUUUCACUAGUAUAGAGAAUAAAAUUUAAGAAAAAUAGAUAAUGUAAGAAAUGAGGCUGAGAAAUCCUAGAAGAGAGUAACAAAGGACCAAGUCCUAAACCAUUUGAAGAUCUAAACCAUAAAACAAUCCUCCUUCCAACCCUUCUAAAAAUAGUAAAAGCACAUCAUUAACUAAGAAAAAAUAUUUUUUCACAUAACAGAAAAGGAAAACUACAACCUCUAAAAAGGAAAUUAUGCAUAAUAUACUUCAUGCUUUUCAUAAAUGCUAGAACUAUUUAACAUAUAAUUGGGGCUAAGUGAUACAAAAGAUUAUAGACAUCUGCAUACCCUGGAAUAAUGUUUUCGUCUUUCACCAAAUAAUAUGGAAGUUUACUUGCAGUCAACAACAACAGCUAGACCAUUGAGAAAAAUUAUAAUAAAUACCGGUCUUCUCAUUAAGAGGUAUAGAGGGAGAAACUGAGAGGAAUCAAACAAGAAGACUAAAAGGUAGCCCCCUUUAUCUUUUACCCCCAUAUAGUAAAGAAAUGUAGUAGUUAAGAACAGUGUUGAUUAUAAACCAUUAUUUAACAUUGUAGCUUAAUUUAACAACAUCAAGUACCUGUCCUUAUUGUUUCCCACUCAUCAAUUUUUGAAUUGGACAUUAUCGUAUUUUUAGUUUCUGAAAAUACUAGAAUAGUAUAACACUAGUUUUCCUCAAACUGGCUGUUAUAUUUGGCAACCAUAAAAAUGUACAAGAAAAUAUGUAUAAAAUCGAACUGCUUUACUCUUUGUUCCACAUCGACAACAUAUUAUUUCAUAAACCUACUUACAAGCAUAGAUCUGUAGAUCUGUAAUCCCAAGCUUCAUGGUUAGUUAGGUCAUCUUCCACAGUCCACCUUCUAAAAACUGGUGGCUGCCACUGUCGAACAAAAAUAUAUAUAAACCAAAAAAACGCCAACCUACCUAAGCACAUUUUGAAAAGAAGGAAAUAGGAGAAGAAUAUUUCACUAGUAUAUACCUAAUUAAAAUCUAUGUAGUUAUCCUGCAUAAUCUUUUUGUAUAGAAGAAGAAAAUUCAAAAUUUUAAGAAAUGAGGUUGAGAAAUCCACUUAAAACCAAAAAGUGGAGAAAAAUUAAGAACAUAAUAGACGAAUGACAUCUAAGCCUUAAGAAUAUCUGAAAAAUAAACCCCUCUCCCCNNNNNNNNNNNNNNNNNNNNNNNNNNNNNNNNNNNNNNNNNNNNNNNNNNNNNNNNNNNNNNNNNNNNNNNNNNNNNNNNNNNNNNNNNNNNNNNNNNNNNNNNNNNNNNNNNNNNNNNNNNNNNNNNNNNNNNNNNNNNNNNNNNNNNNNNNNNNNNNNNNNNNNNNNNNNNNNNNNNNNNNNNNNNNNNNNNNNNNNNNNNNNNNNNNNNNNNNNNNNNNNNNNNNNNNNNNNNNNNNNNNNNNNNNNNNNNNNNNNNNNNNNNNNNNNNNNNNNNNNNNNNNNNNNNNNNNNNNNNNNNNNNNNNNNNNNNNNNNNNNNNNNNNNNNNNNNNNNNNNNNNNNNNNNNNNNNNNNNNNNNNNNNNNNNNNNNNNNNNNNNNNAAAUUAAAACAUAGCAAAAACAUAGUUAUUCAAGGAAACAAGGCUUACCAAGACACAAAGGACUUCCCAGAGCUUAGGUUCAAGGCGAGGCGUGCGCCUCAUCGAAGUGCGGAACACAACCUCCAACGAUAUAUGUAUAUGUAUAUGUAUAUGUACAUGUAUAUAUGGGUGUCGUAUUUGUAACAAUAAAGUAUGUUAUGAUAUAAAUCAUUAAAUUGACAGCAUAUUGUAUAAAUACACACUAAAACAGAAGAAAGAAGAAAAUUGGGGGAAGAAAAAGAGGAGGGCGAAGAGUGGGGUUAAGAAGAAAGAAGAAACAAAGGGGAAGAAAAAAUUGAGGAAAAAAAAGGUUAAGAAAAACAAAGCAAGAAAAAUGGGGAAGAAAAGAGAUGAAGUAAAAAGCUAAGAAAAAAGAUGAAGAAAUGGGAGGAGGAAAAAACAGGGUAAGAAACCAAAAUGAAAAAAAUAUUACCUAGAGGCUUGUUCUAAUAGACUUCAUUAAGGCACGUUGUGCCUUGCACCUCAGGCCUAAGCCCAAAAUGCGCACCUCUUUGAACAUGCCUUGCUUAGCCGUGACAGAGUGCACCUCGCCAUGCCAUGCAUGGGCCUAGAAGUGUACCUUUAACAACUAUGAGCAAAAGCACAUCAUUUAUCAAGAAAAGUAAAUUCUCCCACAACAAAUGGAAAGGCAAACAACCUUUGGAAAGGAAUCCUAGAUAAUCCAUUUUCAGAAUUUUCAUAAAAGCUGGAACUGUUCAACAUAUAAUUGGGGCUAAGCGACGUUUUUGUCAUAUAAUAGGAAGUUUACUUAUAUUCAGAUUCCAACAUAAUAAUAUAUGAAAAGAAUAGGAAAAAAAGGAGAUUUGAAAAGUGAUGAAAAAAUCAGUACCAUAAUUUGAAUCCUAGUAUUAUAAUAUAUGAUUUAAAACUUGUGAUAAGGAUUACUAUGGAACUCUAAUUCCCGUGUUCCGCAAACCUGGUACCAUCAUUUCAAAUCGUGCUAUGAGAACAAAAUGUCUUGUGCACUCUACCAUAAAUCAUGUUCUGCCGUCCGCUUCCGCGUACCCAUUUCCAUUACGCGCUCACAGUCGACAAGCAUUCCUGGUAACCAUGCUUGUGAUAUUAAUGAUAGCUAGAAAUAAUUCAUUGAGAAAAGAUAAAUGGUUACUGAGAAGUGAAUACUAAAUGAAGGUAUGUAAAUAAAACAUGAACUAUCACUACAACUUUAUUGUUUUGUCACUUCAAAAUUUAGUUUGGAGUAUAGACACUUGUGCUAUUUGAAUAUAAUACAUAGCUCCAGCAACAACUAGACCAUUAAGAAAAAUAUAGUCAACACUGCUCUUGCCAGUAAGACAUAGAGAAAGAAACUGAGAGGAAUUAAAAGAAGAAGAAUAAAAGGUGUCCACUUCAACUUUUACCCUCAUAUAAUAAAGAAUAUGUAAUAGUUAAGAAUAGGGGUUGAUUAUAACAUUACUAUUUGGUGAUUUAUUUGCUUAUAAUAUCAUGCUAGUAAUCAAGAAGGCCGUGUCUAACAAGGGAUAACAUUUCUAGCUUUGUUUACCAAAUAUCAAGCACUUUUCCUUAUUGUCUACAACUCAAAUCUAUUUGCGAAUCAGACAUAAUCUUGUUUCUUAGUUUCCAUUAAUAAUAUAAAAGUAUAACGCAAGUGUUCCCAACUUGCUCUUAGUUUUGGCAACCACAAAAAUUACAAGGAAAGACAUACAAAACAGAACUCGUAAUCUUUGUCCCACAUCGACAACAUGUUUAGCUCAUAACCUCCUUAUAAGCAUAGAUCCAUAAUCCUAAACUAAGUGGUUGGUUAGGCCGGCUGCCACGUUCCACUUUCGAAAAAUCACACGAAAAAAAAUACAGAGAAAAUCCAAAAACGUCGACUUACCCAACCACUUUUUGGAAUAAAGUAAAAUAGUCUGAACCCUCUGAAGAUCUAAAUAACAACCCACCCACCCUCGCUGUCCCGCCCUCUCCUCCCAAUCCUUAACCAAGAAAAAUAAUUUUUUCCUCAUAACAACUGAAAAGACAGACUACAACCUCUGAAAUUAAAUCUGAAUAACCUCGUUUCAUGCUUAUAAUAAAUGCUAAAACUUUUUAACUCAUAAUUAGGGCUAAAUGAUACAAAAGAUUAUACACAUCUGUAUACUGUCGAUUAUAUAAGUUUACUUGCAAUCAACAAAAACAACUAGAUCAUUGAGAAAUGUAUACCCCACUUAGCAUUAAUUAGAGGUAUAGAGAGAAAUUCAAACAAGAAGAAUAAAAGGCGGCCACUUCAUCUUUUACCCUCAUACAAUAAACAAAAUUUAGUGCUUAAGAACAACGGUUCAUCAUUAUUUGGUAAUUUAUUUUCAUAUAAUUAUCAUGCUACUAUGCUAGUGAUCAAGAAGGUUAUGUUGUAUAAGUGGUAAACAAACACCAAAUACUUUUCUUUAUGGUUUGCAACUCAAAUCUAUUUAAGAAUCACACAUAGUCUUGUUUCUUAGUUUCCAUAAAUACUAUAAUAGCUAUAACACGAGUGUUCCUCAACAUACUUCUAUUUUUCGCAACCCCAAGAAUGUACAUGAGAACUCCCCUACUCUUUGUCCCACGUUGACAACAAAUUUGCUCAUAAACCUCCUUAUAAGCAUAGAUCUGUAAUCCUAAGCUGAGUGGUUGGUUAGGCCGUCUGCCACGUUCCACAUCCAAAAAACUGGUGGCUGCCACCAUCGAAUAGAAAAAAUAGAAAAUUCCAAAAACGGCGACUUACCCAACCACUUUUUGAAAAAAUAAAAUAGGAGAAGAAUAUUAAACAAGUAUAUUCCUAAUUCAAAUAUAUGUAGGUAUUCUUGCAUAAUCUUUUUGAUUAAAAGAGAAAAUUUUAGCAGGAAAUAUAGAUGAUACAAGAAACUAAGCUGAGAAACCAUCUUAGAAUUAUGAAACGUAUCUCUUUAUUUACCAAAACUAACUAUCAAAGAAAUCCUCGUAAAACCCAAAAUUGGAGAAAUAUUAAGAGUGAAAGAAAGGACGAACAUUUAUAAUUAUAUAAAACACAACCCCUUCCCUCAACGUCUUAAAAAAAAUUGCACUUCACAUCACUCAUCAAGAAAAUUAUUUCUCUCCAAAACAACUGCAAAGUCAAGCUACAACUACAGUGUUUUUCCUCGACGAUAAAUUCUUCUAUGGAUUUGGCUAUGAUUCAUCGAUUGAUGACUACAAAGUUGUCCGAGCCCACAAGUAGAGACUCUUGAUGAAACCAAAGUUGAGGUAUUUAAUCUGAAAGAUAACUCUUGGAGAUUAAUGGAAGGAUUCGAUAAUCAAAUAGGAAUUAAACAAGAGGCUGGAAUCUCUUCAUUAGCAAGGAAGUCGAAUUGGUACAGAUUCUACUAAACAUAAGGUCAUUGUUUUUCUUGAUUUGGCAACUGAGAAAUUCGGAGAAUUCUCAAAGCCUAAUCUUGAUGAUAAGAAUGUUGUAGAAUUUCGUACUUUAUCGAACUUGGGAGAAUGCAUUUCUUUACUUUGCUAUGGCAAUCGGGGCGCUAAUGUUGAGGUAUGGAUAAUGAAAGAAUAUGGGUUGAUGCAUCUUCGAGUAAGUUGAUAAUCUCGAGACGGAUUGAGUUCGAGUACAUCUAUUACUUGAUACCAGUUUAUUUUAUCAAGAAUGGUGAACUUAUAGUUGAUGUUGAUGGAAAUAAACUAGUAAGGUAUGAUCCUAAGGAAAAUACAUAUAGGAACUCAAGUAUCCAUGUGAAGAUUGGGACCGGACUGAAUACGUAGAGAGUUUAAUCUCUCCCAUGGCUAACAAUUGAGAGAUUAAUUGAAGGAAAGAAUGAUAGGAAACUCUCAGGGGAACUAAAGUGUUAUAUUUUGUAAUUCUAAUUCAACAGCAGCCAAUUAUUCUAAGUUAUAACAUUAGCUACUUUACUACUUCAUACACUACAUAAUGAAAGAAUCCAACUAAAGAUUUAAGAGAAUAACAAUAUGGUAAAAUCCAACAAAAUACUUGUAAGAACUACAAAGUUUCCCCAUUCCUACAAGGAAAUUGCCUAAACCAACAAUGUACAACUCAAGUUUCCAACAACUUAUGAACCUUUUCAAAAGUAAAUGAUAUACUCAACUACAUAUAAAUAACAUUUGCUUAUUUGGCUCGUACGAAGAGCACCCUUCAGAAGAUACAGAUACAUAGACAAUUCGUACCCUUUAGAAGAUACAUAGACAAUUCCACAAUAAUAACUAGAAUUACUUAUUUGACAAAUAAAAGUAUAGUACGCUGCACACUUUAGGUCCUUCAAGAAGAUAAUGUCAAAUAAGUAGUAAACGAGCAUCAAAUACUUUACCUUAUGGUUUGCAACUCAAAUCUAUUUAAGAAUCACACAUAGUCUUGUUUCUUAAUUUCCAUAAAUACUAUAAUAGCAUAACACAACUACACAAGUGUUCCUCAAACAUACUCCUACUUUUCACAACCGCAAGAGUGUACAUGAAAAGAUGUUCAACAUAGAACUCCCUUACUCUUUGUCCCACAUCAACAACAUAUCUGCUCAUAAAUCUCCUUAUAAGCAUAGAUCCAUAAUCCUAAGCUGAGUGGUUGGUUAGGUCGUCUGCCACGUUCCACAUCCAAAAAAACUGGUGGCCGCCACCAUCGAACGAAAAAAAAAUAGAAAAUUCCAAAAAGGCGACUUACCCAACCAAUUUUUGAAGGAAAAAAAACUAGGAGAAGAAUAUUAAACCAGUAUAUUCCAAAUUCAAAUCUUUGUAGAUAUUCUUGCAUAAUCUUUUUGAUUAAAAGAAGAAAAAUUUAGCCAGAAAAAUAGAUGAUAAAAGAAACUAAGCUGAGAAAUCAUCUUAGAAUUAUGAAACGUAUCUCUUUAUUUUACCAAAACUAACUAUCAAAUAAAUCCUCGUAAAACCCAAUAUUGGAGAAAUAUUAAGAGUGUACCAAAGGACAAACGUCUAUAAUGUUAUGAAACACAACCCCCUCCCUCAAUCUCUUAAAAAAAUUGCAAUUCACAUCAUUCAUCAAGAAAAGUAUUUUCUCCAUAACAACUGCAAAGGCAAACAACAACCAUAAAAAACAAAUCACACAUACCUUGUUUCAUGAAUUUUAUAAAUGUUAUAACUGUUUAAUAUAUAAUUGGGGCUACGGGAAAUAAAAGACUACAAACAUCAGCAUACCGUGGUACAAUGCUUUUGUCAAAUAAUAUGGAAGUUCACUUGCAAUCACAUUUCAACACAAUGAUAUUCGAAAAGUGAAAAAUCCAUUUCCAUAACUUGAAUCCUGAUAAAAAGAACAAGAAGAAAAAUAAGAGAAAGGUGGUCGCUUCAUCUUUUACCCUUGUAUAAUAAAAAAACAUAGUAGUUCAGAACACAGGUUGAUUAUAAAUUUGCUAAUUUAUUUGCAUAUACUAAUAUUGUCAUGCGAGUAAUCAAUAAGUUAUGUCAAACAAGUAAUAACAUUGUUAGAUUCAUUUACCAACAUCGUGUACUUUUCCUUAAUGUUUCCUACUCUGAUCUUUAUAAGAAUAAGACGUAAUCUUAUCUCUUAGUUACUAUGAUGGUAUAACACAUGUAUUCCUCAAACUUGCUCUUACUUUAGCAACCAAAUUAAUGUUAAAUGAAAAGAUGUACAAAACCAAACUCCCUUUCUCUUUGUUCUUCAUCGACAACGUAAUAGCUCAUAAACCUCCUUAUGAGUAUAAACCCAUAGUCCUAAGCUUAGCAGUUGGUUAACCAUUUUCCACGUUCCACAUUCUAGAAACCUGGUGGCUGCUACCGUCAAAUGAAAAAUAAAUAAAUAAAUAGUUAAAAAGCGCAAAGUCCACCUACUAACCUAACCACUUUUCAAAAGUACAAUUAGGGUGACUAUUUGACUAGCAUAUAUAGUUGUCAUGCUCAUAACCAAGUGUGAUGAUAUAUUGCCAAAUAAUUAGAUCAUUAGCAUCAUUUACUCACAACAGGUAUAUUUAUUGUUCCCAAAUUGUUAUUUAGCUAAUCAUUUGUUUGUAUUUAAUGUAUAUCUUUUAAUUAUUGUAGUAGGUUAUUUUAGAUUAGCAUUAGGAGUUGUUUCCUUAUUAAAUUAGGUUAUUUAAAUUUUAGUAUAAUUAGGGUCAGUAGUCUACAUAAAGUGAUGUAAUUUAUUGUUAAAAGACAGAAUUUAGUAUACUGAUUGAUUUGAGAUUGGCUUUCGCCUUUGGGCCUUAUUGUUCUUCCUUUUUUCCCUUAUUUCUACUCAUUUACCCAAUCCAAAAACCCUUCUCAUCCUACAUCAAAGCUUUCCCUAAUAAGUUAAUGAAAAUAAAAACACUGCUCAUAUUCUCUAUGUGCAUGGAUUUGUGGAGUGACAAUUUCAUUUUUACCUUCUUUCACAUAUCCAUUUGUUCUAAAUUAUAGGACCAAUAUUGACUUUUCGAAGUCAAUUUGAGAUAUUUUCAUAUUCAAACUUGAUAUGAAUUCUUAUAUUUUUAGAAAACACAAUUAUAAAAGGGAAAAUGAUAUUUACACGUGUUUUUGUUAGUUCCGCAGGUCCCCCUCUCACAUGAAAGUGGGACCCACACCAUUCUAAUGUGAGAAGAGACCAUGUGAAACCAACAAAAGUACAUGUAAAAAUAGUUUGCUCCCCUGUUAAAAUUGUAUACUAUGUAAAAACUGCUAGUAAUUACAACAUUUAGUAUUUUCAAAAGUAAAAUGAAUUACAACAAUUUGAAUUUGAAAAUAUCUCGUAUUGACUUUAAACUUGAUUUUAUAUUUUGGAGUGGAAGGAAUAUAUUUUUUGUGUUUAUCACGCAGCCACGAACAUAUGGUUCAAUUCAAUCAACCCAAAAUCUUAUAUUCUACAUACUAUUUAUCUUCUACUUGAGUUGCUCUCAAAUCAUACUAAUUAGCUCCACCAAGUGAGGUAAAAUUUUAUAAUCUGUAAGAUGAAAAAAAUUCUAGGAAAUGGAAUGGAAAAGGAAAUUAGGGUUUAGUUUCUUCACAUAAUUUGUAAAUUGAAAAAAAAAAAUCCUUAAUGACAGUCGUACCCUAACCAGUCGACAAACAAGCACAAUUGAGAAAGAAACAAUGGCAACAGACUGCUACAAUAAACAACAAGAUUUCAAUUUGCAAAAUGGGAAAUGUGAGAAAUUCAAUAUAUAAAUUAUGACGCAUCUGAUAAUAAGUAUUUGAUACAAGGAUUGUUAAUUUCGGUAUCAUAUAUAUAUAUAUAUAUAUACAAGCACUUAUUGCUACAAACUAUAAAAUGAAGUUUAUACGAGUAUUUUUAUACCUUGAUGGCGGUAAAUGAGAAGUCCAGCCAGUGGAGGGGAAGAAACAUGGUCUAGCCAUUAGAUGGGAAGAAGAGAUUCCGACGUCUGUGGUGUACAGGUGUUGUUUCCUUCUCAUGUGCCUUAAUUCAUCUUAACAUCGUAAUGCAUGAUGCACAUUUUU
Molecule: long non-coding RNA, 9865 nt
Filed under: Panax ginseng (ginseng)
Lineage: Eukaryota; Viridiplantae; Streptophyta; Magnoliopsida; Apiales; Araliaceae
Description: long non-coding RNA (PGIN_LNC009550)
Source: RNAcentral